RNAcentral lists this non-coding RNA (78 nucleotides) under Halorubrum aidingense JCM 13560. RNAcentral's name for it is "eL15-Euryarchaeota ribosomal protein leader". The stretch from base 14 to 78 matches the Rfam family "eL15-Euryarchaeota ribosomal protein leader". The record is from RNAcentral. Lineage: Archaea; Methanobacteriati; Methanobacteriota; Halobacteria; Halobacteriales; Haloferacaceae.
CUCGCCACCGGCGCCGGGGACGCGCUCCCUGUGCCCGGGACGAGACGACAUGUGGCCGCCUCGCGGCUGAAUCGCAAC